Molecule: ribosomal RNA, 254 nt
Filed under: uncultured bacterium
Lineage: Bacteria
Description: partial 16S ribosomal RNA
Rfam family: Bacterial small subunit ribosomal RNA
Source: RNAcentral
UACGUAGGGGGCAAGCGUUGUCCGGAUUCAUUGGGCGUAAAGAGCUCGUAGGCGGCUUGGCAAGUCGGGUGUGAAAACUUCAGGCUCAACCUGGAGCGGCCACUCGAUACUGCCAUGGCUAGAGUCCGGUAGGGGACCACGGAAUUCCAGGUGUAGCGGUGAAAUGCGUAGAUAUCUGGAGGAACACCGGUGGCGAAGGCGGCAUCCUGGACCGGCAUUGACGCUGAGGCGCGAAAGCCAGGGGAGCAAACGGG